UUUUGCUGAAGAAAAAGGUCUUGGAUGCCAGAGAUAGAAAGAAGAGGACUGCUCUCCAUUUGGCCUGUGCCAAUGGCCAUCCAGAAGUAGUUACUGUCUUGGUGAACAGAAAAUGCAAGCUCAAUGUCCCCGACAGUGAAAAAAGGACAGCUCUGAUUAAGGCGGUACAAUGCCUGGAAGAGGAGUGUGCCAGCAUCCUGUUAGAACACGGUGCCGAUCCGAAUCACAGUGACGUGUAUGGCAACACAGCUCUUCACUAUGCUGUCUAUGGUGACAACCCAUAGAUCGCAGCAAAGCUCCUUUCACAUGGCGCAAAUAAAGAAGCCAUAAACAAGGAUCACCUCACUCCACUUUUACUUGCUGUAAGUGGAACUAAAGAGGAAAUGGUAGAAUUUUUGAUACAGAAGGAUGCAGAUAUAAAUG
Lemur catta (Ring-tailed lemur) is the source of this 423-nucleotide long non-coding RNA. RefSeq lists it as uncharacterized. The record is from RefSeq and is a predicted model, not a curated record. Lineage: Eukaryota; Metazoa; Chordata; Mammalia; Primates; Lemuridae. The transcript is spliced from 4 exons.